This 237-nucleotide ribosomal RNA is filed under the name uncultured bacterium. RNAcentral's name for it is "partial 16S ribosomal RNA". It matches the Rfam family "Bacterial small subunit ribosomal RNA", at positions 532 to 769 of the family's 1533-position model. The record is from RNAcentral.
AUGCGAGCGUUAUCCGGAUUUAUUGGGUUUAAAGGGUGCGCAGGCGGCGCGCCAAGUCAGCGGUCAAAGUUCCGGGCUCAACCCGGUGUCGCCGUUGAAACUGGCGUGCUCGAGUGCGUGCGAGGAAGGCGGAAUGCGUUGUGUAGCGGUGAAAUGCAUAGAUAUGACGCAGAACUCCGAUUGCGAAGGCAGCUUUCCAGCGCGCUACUGACGCUGAGGCACGAAAGCGUGGGGAUC